Molecule: ribosomal RNA, 863 nt
Filed under: Escherichia coli
Lineage: Bacteria; Pseudomonadati; Pseudomonadota; Gammaproteobacteria; Enterobacterales; Enterobacteriaceae
Description: partial 23S ribosomal RNA
Rfam family: Bacterial large subunit ribosomal RNA
Source: RNAcentral
AAUGGGUCAGCGACUUAUAUUCUGUAGCAAGGUUAACCGAAUAGGGGAGCCGAAGGGAAACCGAGUCUUAACUGGGCGUUAAGUUGCAGGGUAUAGACCCGAAACCCGGUGAUCUAGCCAUGGGCAGGUUGAAGGUUGGGUAACACUAACUGGAGGACCGAACCGACUAAUGUUGAAAAAUUAGCGGAUGACUUGUGGCUGGGGGUGAAAGGCCAAUCAAACCGGGAGAUAGCUGGUUCUCCCCGAAAGCUAUUUAGGUAGCGCCUCGUGAAUUCAUCUCCGGGGGUAGAGCACUGUUUCGGCAAGGGGGUCAUCCCGACUUACCAACCCGAUGCAAACUGCGAAUACCGGAGAAUGUUAUCACGGGAGACACACGGCGGGUGCUAACGUCCGUCGUGAAGAGGGAAACAACCCAGACCGCCAGCUAAGGUCCCAAAGUCAUGGUUAAGUGGGAAACGAUGUGGGAAGGCCCAGACAGCCAGGAUGUUGGCUUAGAAGCAGCCAUCAUUUAAAGAAAGCGUAAUAGCUCACUGGUCGAGUCGGCCUGCGCGGAAGAUGUAACGGGGCUAAACCAUGCACCGAAGCUGCGGCAGCGACACUAUGUGUUGUUGGGUAGGGGAGCGUUCUGUAAGCCUGUGAAGGUGUACUGUGAGGUAUGCUGGAGGUAUCAGAAGUGCGAAUGCUGACAUAAGUAACGAUAAAGCGGGUGAAAAGCCCGCUCGCCGGAAGACCAAGGGUUCCUGUCCAACGUUAAUCGGGGCAGGGUGAGUCGACCCCUAAGGCGAGGCCGAAAGGCGUAGUCGAUGGGAAACAGGUUAAUAUUCCUGUACUUGGUGUUACUGCGAAGGGGGGACGGAGAAGGC